RNAcentral lists this non-coding RNA (147 nucleotides) under Desulforamulus aeronauticus. RNAcentral's name for it is "Desulfotomaculum aeronauticum FMN sequence". It matches the Rfam family "FMN riboswitch aptamer (RFN element)". Rfam says of the family: The RFN element is a highly conserved domain that is found frequently in the 5'-untranslated regions of prokaryotic mRNAs that encode for flavin mononucleotide (FMN) biosynthesis and transport proteins. This element is a metabolite-dependent riboswitch that directly binds FMN in the absence of proteins. In Bacillus subtilis, the riboswitch most likely controls gene expression by causing premature transcription termination within the 5' untranslated region of the ribDEAHT operon and precluding access to the ribosome-binding site of ypaA mRNA. Lineage: Bacteria; Bacillati; Bacillota; Clostridia; Eubacteriales; Peptococcaceae. The record is from RNAcentral.
ACUUAUUCUCAGGGCGGGGUGAAAUUCCCCACCGGCGGUAUCUCAGUUAUACUGAGGAGCCCGCGAGCGCUCUUUAACUUUAAAGAGGUCAGCAGAACUGGUAAAAAGCCAGUGCCGACGGUAUAGUCCGGAUGGAAGAGGAUAAGG